CCCUUAGAUGUUCUGGGCUGCACGCGCGCUACACUGUCGGAUUCAGCGAGUCAUAUCCUUAACCGAAAGGUUUGGGUAAUCUUUUGAAAGUCCGACGUGAUGGGGAUUGAUCAUUGCAAUUAUUGAUCAUGAACGAGGAAUUCCUAGUAAGCGCGAGUCAUCAGCUCGCGUUGAUUACGUCCCUGCCCUUUGUACACACCGCCCGUCGCUACUACCGAUUGAAUGGUUUAGUGAGAUCUUCGGAUUGGCGCCUACGCGGCUUCUCUGAGGCCACGCUGGAUGCCGAAAAGUUGCUCAAACUGUAUCAUUUAGAGGAAGUAAAAGUCGUAGCA
This 332-nucleotide ribosomal RNA is filed under the name uncultured eukaryote. Its description in RNAcentral is "partial 18S ribosomal RNA". It matches the Rfam family "Eukaryotic small subunit ribosomal RNA", at positions 1470 to 1796 of the family's 1831-position model. The record is from RNAcentral.